Non-coding RNA from Danio rerio (zebrafish), 386 nucleotides. NCBI's taxonomy places the organism in Eukaryota, Metazoa, Chordata, Actinopteri, Cypriniformes, Danionidae. The record is from RefSeq and is a predicted model, not a curated record.
AGUUUGUAUGUUCUCCCCGUGUUCGCGUGGGUUUCCUCCGGGUGCUCCGGUUUCCCCCUAAGUCCAACGACAUGCAGUAACUUACAGGUGAAUUUGGCGGCAGUGAUGUGUUACUGUGACUGAAGAAAACACAGAGGAAACAAAAGCAGAAGAAACACUCCCUCCAUGUGGACGUGGUCUGUUUCUGGAGAAGCUUGAGCUGGCAGUCGCGAGAGUAAGACAAAGGAUCGAGUGUCCGGGCCAGAAACACGUGCGCCAGAUUCAGCUCAUCUCUUAAUAAACGUUUUAUAAAAUAUUAAAUGUUCCCUUUCUUGUGUUGUGGUGUUUAAUUUGUACUUUUAUGUUGUUCUGGUCUGUAAAAUUCAAUAAAUUUGGUUUUUAACUCA